ACAGCAGCCGCCACGGUAAUACGUAGGUCCCGAGCGUUGUCCGGAUUUAUUGAGCGUAAAGGGAGCGCAGGCGGUUUAGUAAGUCUGAAGUUAAAGGCAUUGGCUCAACCAAUGUAUGCUUUGGAAACUGUUAGACUUGAGUGCAGAAGGGGAGAGUGGAAUUCCAUGUGUAGCGGUGAAAUGCGUAGAUAUAUGGAGGAACACCGGUGGCGAAAGCGGCUCUCUGGCUUGUAACUGACGCUGAGACUCGAAAGCGUGGGGAGCAAACAGGAUUAGAUACCCCCGUAGUCCCUGUCUCUUAUACA
Molecule: ribosomal RNA, 305 nt
Filed under: uncultured bacterium
Lineage: Bacteria
Description: partial 16S ribosomal RNA
Rfam family: Bacterial small subunit ribosomal RNA
Source: RNAcentral